This is a non-coding RNA of Triticum aestivum (bread wheat), 108 nucleotides long. The record is from Rfam. Lineage: Eukaryota; Viridiplantae; Streptophyta; Magnoliopsida; Poales; Poaceae.
UUUUUGCUGUGAUGAACCACAAGGACGGUAUCUGAGUAAGGUGGCUGUUGAAAAGGCUCUCCUUCCUUGAUUAUACAUCCUAAACUGAUCUAAAUUUCUGAGCAAACA